This 253-nucleotide ribosomal RNA is filed under the name uncultured bacterium. RNAcentral's name for it is "partial 16S ribosomal RNA". It matches the Rfam family "Bacterial small subunit ribosomal RNA", at positions 524 to 776 of the family's 1533-position model. The record is from RNAcentral.
UACGUAGGGGGCAAGCGUUGUCCGGAAUCAUUGGGCGUAAAGCGCGUGUAGGCGGCCAGAAAAGUCCGCUGUGAAAACUCGAGGCUCAACUUCGAGCUGUCGGUGGAAACUUUCUGGCUAGAGUCCGGAAGAGGAGAAUGGAAUUCCUGGUGUAGCGGUGAAAUGCGCAGAUAUCAGGAAGAACACCGGUGGCGAAGGCGGCUUUCUGGGCCUUACCUGACGCUGAGGAGCGAAAGCUGGGGGAGCGAACAGG